ACCGCCAAGUAGGCAAAGCUCGACGCGCAAAUUUCGCUGAUAGUUGUGUCUAAUGAAAGUUACAAUCACAGCUGCAAAAUCUGUGUGUGAAUCGUGCCAAAAAA
Molecule: long non-coding RNA, 104 nt
Organism: Drosophila innubila
Lineage: Eukaryota; Metazoa; Arthropoda; Insecta; Diptera; Drosophilidae
Exons: 2
Source: RefSeq, a predicted model, not a curated record